This 1088-nucleotide ribosomal RNA is filed under the name uncultured organism. RNAcentral describes it as "bacterial SSU rRNA". It matches the Rfam family "Bacterial small subunit ribosomal RNA", at positions 198 to 1307 of the family's 1533-position model. The record is from RNAcentral.
AGGUGAAAGGAGGAAUCCGGUUUAAGAUGGGCCCGCGUCCAAUUAGCUAGUUGGUGAGGUAAGAGCGCACCAAGGCGACGAUUGGUAGCCGAACUGAGAGGUUGAGCGGCCACAUUGGGGCUGAGAUACGGCCCAGACUCCUACGGGAGGCAGCAGUGGGGAAUAUUGCGCAAUGGGGGGAACCCUGACGCAGCGACGCCGCGUGAAGGAAGAAGGUCUUCGGAUUGUAAACUUCUUUGAUUAGGGAAGAGGAAGGACGGUACCUAAAGAACAAGCCACGGCUAACUACGUGCCAGCAGCCGCGGUAAUACGUAGGUGGCAAGCGUUGUCCGGAAUUACUGGGUGUAAAGGGCGAGUAGGUGGAUCACUAAGUCAGAGGUGAAAACCCAUGGCUAAACUGUGGGAUAGCAACUGAAACUAGAGAUCUUGAGUACUGGAGAGGGAAGCGGAAUUCCUAGUGUAGCGGUGAAAUGCGUAGAUAUUAGGAGGAACACCAGUGGCGAAGGCGGCUUCCUGGACAGAGACUGACACUGAGGCGCGAAAGCGUGGGGAGCGAACAGGAUUAGAUACCCUGGUAGUCCACGCUGUAAACGAUGGAUACUAGGUGUAGGUGGUAAGAAACCAUCUGUGCCGGAGUAAACACAAUAAGUAUCCCACCUGGGGAGUACAGCCGCAAGGUUGAAACUCAAAGGAAUUGACGGGGGCCCGCACAAGCAGUGGAGUAUGUGGUUUAAUUCGAAGCAACGCGAAGAACCUUACCAGGGCUUGACAUCCCUUGAACUAUCUAGAGAUAGGUAGGGCCUACGGGACAAGGAGACAGGUGGUGCAUGGUUGUCGUCAGCUCGUGUCGUGAGGUGUUGGGUUAAGUCCCGCAACGAGCGCAACCCUUAUAGCUAGUUGCCAGCAAUAAGAUGGGGACUCUAGCGAGACAGCCGUUGAGAAAACGGCGGAAGGAAAGGAUGACGUCAAAUCAUCAUGCCCCUUAUGCUCUGGGCUACACACGUACUACAAUGGCUACUACAGAGGGAAGCGAAGCCAGGAGGCGGAGCAAAUCUCAAAAAGGUAGUCCCAGUUCAGAUUGUAGGCUG